This is a long non-coding RNA of Thalassophryne amazonica, 668 nucleotides long. RefSeq lists it as uncharacterized. The record is from RefSeq and is a predicted model, not a curated record. The transcript has 2 exons. NCBI's taxonomy places the organism in Eukaryota, Metazoa, Chordata, Actinopteri, Batrachoidiformes, Batrachoididae.
ACAAUAUAACAAAAACAAAAAAGGAAGUGUAAUUUAUACCACCUGUCAUCUUAUUUAAGGUUACAGUAUAAUCCAGACUGCAUUACUUGGGGCCGUAUCUGUGGCAGUUUUUAAACCAGUGCAAGUGUGUGGGGACCUGUGUGUUAUGAGCGUAAGCACGUCUCAUGAUUCUUCACUUAAAUGGUGCAAAGUAAAGCCAAGAGUCCUUGUCACUCACCCAGUUAAUUCAUAAGUGCUGCAAAACGUCUGGUCGAGUGACUAUGUGCAUUUUUCCUGCGUGGAACAGCAGUUAUGUGUAUAUUUGAUUCAGGAUAAAAGUGAGUCGUGAUGUAUGUCUGUCAUUUGAGACCUCAGACUUUGUCAGCUUCAUUUCCCAACAUCAUGUAACCGAUAACAGGCUGCCCUUGAGAGACCUCAAUUUGAAAAACAGCGCAGUGGUGCUAAGCACACAUGCACACACAAACCCUCGGUAAUCAGCGAGAAGGAUGGAAUCCUGGUCUUAUGCUCUGCACCAUAAUCCAGUUUAUAAGGAUUAAUUAGGAAUUAAGGAGUGUAAUGUUAUCAGUGCAUGAUUCGUUCACAUGCGCGUACACCCGUGCACAUACACACCUCACUCUGUUUCAGUGUAUAUAGGACGAGGAUUAUUCAGAACCACCUUAGAAAAGUUA